This 85-nucleotide transfer RNA is filed under the name Felis catus (domestic cat). It matches the Rfam family "tRNA". From Rfam's summary of the family: Transfer RNA (tRNA) molecules are approximately 80 nucleotides in length. The record is from Rfam by way of RNAcentral. RNAcentral also lists the same sequence under 2 other names. Lineage: Eukaryota; Metazoa; Chordata; Mammalia; Carnivora; Felidae.
GCCUGGGUGGCUCAGUCGGUUGAGUGUCUGACUUAGGCUCAGGUCAUGAUCUCAUGGUUCGUGGGUUCGAGCCCCGCGUCGGGCU